Molecule: ribosomal RNA, 265 nt
Filed under: uncultured bacterium
Lineage: Bacteria
Description: partial 16S ribosomal RNA
Rfam family: Bacterial small subunit ribosomal RNA
Source: RNAcentral
UACGUAGGAGGCGAGCGUUGUCCGGAGUUACUGGGCGUAAAGGGUGCGCAGGCGGCGUUCCGCGUGGCGAGAUGAAAUCUCCUGGCUUACCUGGGGAGGGUGGUCGCCAGACGGGGAGCGCUUGAGGGUCGGAGAGGGGCGUGGAAUUCCGGGUGGGAGCGGUGGAAAUGCGUAGAGAUCCGGAGGAACACCGACGGCGUAGGGCAGCGCCCCUGGACGACACCUGACCGCUGAGGCACGAAAAGCUGGGGGGGAGCGGAACAGG